GCUACUUUGCUUUGGGAGUGCCGUCUGGCCAGACUAAGGUCCGUUUUACCUUCCAACUUGUCCGGUGUGUUCCUUCCCGGGUCUUCUUCGCUGCAGUCAGCUCCUCGGAGCGUUUGCCUGCAGUCUUUUGGAGCUGAAAUUACUUAUCUACACAGAAGUCUUCUCCACCCAGACAUGGAGUCUAUGGAGUGCUCUGCCAUCUCUCAGAAACUUGGAGGUCUGAGAGAGAGAGGAUGUUUACUCUUCACUUAAUAAACACAGGACUCGUGUCUACACUAUCGGCCAGCCUCUUCAUUCGGGGCAGUGUGAUUCUUCCACAAUAAUCCCAGUGAAUUCCAAAUGAGAGUCCUGACAGUGCAGAAACACAGCUUAGAUUCUGCCCGUGAAGUAAGUGUACAUGUGCCGGAAGAAAGCCC
Long non-coding RNA from Heterocephalus glaber (naked mole-rat), 416 nucleotides. Lineage: Eukaryota; Metazoa; Chordata; Mammalia; Rodentia; Bathyergidae. The record is from Ensembl.